This is a long non-coding RNA of Ostrea edulis (European flat oyster), 1176 nucleotides long. RefSeq lists it as uncharacterized. The transcript has 2 exons. The record is from RefSeq and is a predicted model, not a curated record. Lineage: Eukaryota; Metazoa; Mollusca; Bivalvia; Ostreida; Ostreidae.
GUUGUUUUGUGUAUUUGGGGGGGGGGGGUAUCAUUUACUCCAAACGGCCGUUGAUGUUGGAUACAUAUCAUGUGAAACUGUAUUGUACAUACUCUAUUUAUGAAAUAUGAUAAGAUUUUCUCUUCUCUUUCAAGCAUUGAAAUAUUAAGUUUUAUGAAAAUCAAAUAGUCCUUUCCAAAAAUUACACAGACCCAUCUAUAGCAAUCUAAUCUGUUGUUCAGUGUUAUGUCUGAGAUUUAGAAUUGUUUUAAAUUUAUGUCCACAAUAAUUUCAACAGGUAAUCAUGUUCAGGAUAUGAAAUAUUUGUCAGUUCUGAGCACUGCUCCAUAGUUUACCAAUAAUUCAUGACUGUACAAUGUAACGUGUGUAAACAAAACUCAAAUCAAAAACAACUCAUCGGCGUGAUCCGUGAACAAGACUAAUUGCCAAACCCUGUCACCUUUGCUUCUGGUCAACAGCACCUUCGACCUGGUCAAGAUUGUGAAGACAGUGUCUGACAGUUCCAUCUUAGAGAUGUUUUCCCUGCUAUGUUCCAGAGCUGUUUUGCUUACAAUCCUUUUUGUCACAUUGCUGGGGAUGGCAGACGCUUGUGGAAGGCCUGGACCACGCCUUAUGGGACUGGCGUUAGAAAAGUGUCAAAACAACUGCGCACACAGCUAUAAUAUCCGGAAAUGCUCUGGCGAAAGAAGUGAUAAAGGCAUCCAAAUGUGUAUCAAUCGAAUCGGCAGUGACUAUCAGCAUUGCAUAGGAGAAUGCUGAGGAUGUCCGAAAUAUCUGAUAGCAGACAUACAGCUUCACUUGCUAUAAUGCCAUUGUGUUCUAAAGAACUUGACGUAUUUAUAUGAAUGACAACAGACAAGUGAAUGAAACACGUGUAAUAAAUUAAGUAUAUACCAUUGUACAGUGAGACUGUGACCUUUUCUUCUACAGUCAGGUGUAUUUUAUACCAUUGUACAGUGAGACUGUGACCUUUUCUUCUACAGUCAGGUGUAUUUUAGAUAUCUUAUUGUUGCAGAUCGUAUUUUUUUUCCUCUUUUUUCCUUGUGUGUAUUGUGUUUUGAUUCGACAUCGAUUUUUCCAAACUGCAUAUUUCUUUCAAACUUUGCAAAGUAUAUUUACCUUCCUUUCUAUGUAAUGCUUAACCAGACCAGAAAGAUUAAAAUAUUUGAUACAUUU